Vespa mandarinia (Asian giant hornet) is the source of this 887-nucleotide long non-coding RNA. NCBI's taxonomy places the organism in Eukaryota, Metazoa, Arthropoda, Insecta, Hymenoptera, Vespidae. The record is from RefSeq and is a predicted model, not a curated record.
UACGUAAAGAAGAAUAGACAAAAAUAUAUUCGAAAAGGAUAUGUCAUACGUCUGCAAAGAUAUAAGAGACCGCGUACAUACAUACAUAUAUACAUAAGUCAUAGGUGAAUCUCAUAUGAAGGCAAGCCAAGGCCACGACAUGAGACGUGCAAAUUAAAAAAGGUAAUAAUAUUAAAAAAAGAAGCAAGUAAAAAAUUCUCUCCCAAAACCGCUCCAACCACAACCAAGCACAACCACAGGCAAGGUACGGGCCUUUGUCAACGAGACAGUCAUCAACCAGUGAAUAUGUGGCGCAUUACCGUGAUUAUAUAUUGUGUACGUACGUACGUAUUUAUGUACGUAUGUGUUAUCUAUACACAUACAUAUAUACGUAUGAGAUGCGAAAAGAGAAGAGAGAUCAGAGGAUGCGGAAGGAUAAUCGAUCGGACGAGAAUCGAAAGGAGGGAAAAAAAUGAUUCGAGUCGAAUCGUCCUCACAUCCAAGCUAUACCGACGCUAUUUUCGUAGCGAUCACGGCGGAGUCAUCGAGCAAGAUUUGUUGCGGUAUAGGCGAUAUAUUUAUAUUUUACGCGUACUUUUUGAAGGACCGAAAAAAACUCUGGAAUCAUUUGUAAAUUUCAGAUCGAGUGUCGGAGAACUUCUUGAAAAGAAGAGAAACGUUUUAACCUGCUUUCGUCCAACGUUGGCGCGACCGAACGCGUCAUGAAAGAUUCGACCAAAGGGACCUGUGGAAAACAGAGGAUAGGUUUAGUCGGGAAGCGAGAGAGAAAGAACCCAUGGGAUUGGGAUAAUGUUCGUCGAGGGUUGCUCGUGUGAGAGGGAACAUAGAAAGGCGAUGUGGGUUAAUGGUAAAUACGAUAAUUAAUAAAUCAUACGAAUUAUCACAUA